RNAcentral lists this unclassified non-coding RNA (244 nucleotides) under plant metagenome. Its description in RNAcentral is "partial contains small subunit ribosomal RNA, internal transcribed spacer 1, and 5.8S ribosomal RNA". The record is from RNAcentral.
UCUCCGUUGGUGAACCAGCGGAGGGAUCAUUACCGAGUUUACAACUCCCAAACCCAAUGUGAACCAUACCAAACUGUUGCCUCGGCGGGGUCACGCCCCGGGUGCGUCGCAGCCCCGGAACCAGUCGCCCGCCGGAGGGACCAACCAAACUCUUUCUGUAGUCCCCUCGCGGACGUUAUUUUUACAGCUCUGAGCAAAAAUUCAAAAUGAAUCAAAACUUUCAACAACGGAUCUCUUGGUUCUG